Molecule: small RNA, 244 nt
Filed under: Paenibacillus rhizosphaerae
Lineage: Bacteria; Bacillati; Bacillota; Bacilli; Caryophanales; Paenibacillaceae
Description: BsrG
Rfam family: BsrG
About the family: bsrE, bsrG and bsrH pair through intermolecular interactions with antisense sRNAs. SR4 interaction with the 3'UTR of bsrG RNA promotes bsrG degradation and inhibits its translation.
Source: RNAcentral
UACAACAUAUCGGCUUUAAGGGCGGUCGGCUAAUCUCCCGGAAGGGAGGUGAUGCCUGUGGAGGUAUACCAAACAUUGACGCUAAUGAUUUCCUUCGCGACUUUGGUGGUGUUAAUACUUUCGUUCCACAAAAAGAAAUAGACCGCCCUAGGUAAGGUAAACGGUCUAUUUCUGUACUGUUUCUCCGAAGCCGACCGCUCUUUCAGCGGCUGUUGUACGGGGGAUCGUGUUAGCCGCACGAUCC